GCCCUGUUUAGCAUUAAACUAGUUUUUGCAAUGUCAUGUUGCAGUUGUUCUUUUUUUCCCCACGCUCUUUAAAGCAGGGAUUAUCCUUUUCAUACACUCAAUCUUUGCAGAAAUUAUGUUUUCUUAUUUAGUGAACAAAUACAAUUACAACAACAUGAAGAAUACAUGCUCAUUUUGAAUCCCUUUUCUGUACUGCAUAUAAUUCCUGAGUUACAUCUUCUCUCAACUGUUAGCACUUUCCCAAGUAAUACUGUUUUUUCUCUGUUUAUUCACAGCCAUUUCCAUUCUCAACUCAGCUCCUCAUGCAACUGUGUCACUCUGGUGGAGCAAAGGCUCUGUCUAAAGUGCAUGCAAUCAGAGCUUGUGAGGCCGCGGGAUGCAAGGCUACAGAAAGAGAUGGUGUGGCCAUUUCUCAGUGAUCUGCGCACACCUGCCCUACUGGAGACACAGGAACAAGUACAUCACCUGCUGAAUUUCCAGACCCUUAUCAAAACAGUAAACACAGGGAGUUUUGUUUCCCUGCACGCAGCUUCCCUUACUGACAGGUCAUACUGGAAGAGGAGCUGUCUAACAUAGCUGUGGUCCAGAAAAGACCCUCAUGGGUAUUACUGUCCAUGUGAGUAGUAACACGGGCAUGCUUUGUGGUAAUGCAUUAGGGACCAAGUGGACGGUGCUCGGCACUUCACUUCAGUGCAUGUGCAGAAUGCACAAAGCCAGAAGGCAAGUCUGCAGAUGCCGGACUCCCCUUCAAGGUCAUGCUGUUUCUCAUUUAUUUUUUUGGUAUUUCCAUCUGAUAAACAAACCGAGUUUAAAUGCUUCCAAAUGCAUUUGUUUCUAUUCUAUUGACACACUCAUGAAGUCCAACUGAAAAACACAUGCUGGGCUAAUUCUUAUAAUUAAUAAAUGACUAUGAUCAUAUAUUUACA
Molecule: long non-coding RNA, 926 nt
Filed under: Numida meleagris (helmeted guineafowl)
Lineage: Eukaryota; Metazoa; Chordata; Aves; Galliformes; Numididae
Description: lncRNA (ENSNMEG00000010103.1)
Source: RNAcentral